AUUUAAGUAGUUUAAAAAAAAUUUUGAUUUGUGGUGUCAAAGAUACAAAAUUUAUUGUCUUAAAUC
This 66-nucleotide transfer RNA is filed under the name Xyela sp. ZJUH_2016036. RNAcentral's name for it is "tRNA-His". The record is from RNAcentral. Lineage: Eukaryota; Metazoa; Arthropoda; Insecta; Hymenoptera; Xyelidae.